Molecule: unclassified non-coding RNA, 298 nt
Filed under: plant metagenome
Description: partial contains 5.8S ribosomal RNA, internal transcribed spacer 2, and large subunit ribosomal RNA
Rfam family: 5.8S ribosomal RNA (bases 1-105)
Source: RNAcentral
GAAAUGCGAUAAUUAAUGUGAAUUGCAGAAUUCAGUGAAUCAUCGAGUCUUUGAACGCACAUUGCGCCCCCUGGUAUUCCGGGGGGCAUGCCUGUCCGAGCGUCAUUUCACCACUCAAGCCUCGCUUGGUAUUGGGCAACGCGGUCCGCCGCGUGCCUCAAAUCGACCGGCUGGGUCUUCUGUCCCCUAAGCGUUGUGGAAACUAUUCGCUAAAGGGUGUUCGGGAGGCUACGCCGUAAAACAACCCCAUUUCUAAGGUUGACCUCGGAUCAGGUAGGGAUACCCGCUGAACUUAAGC